GUGGGGAAUUUUGGACAAUGGGCGAAAGCCUGAUCCAGCCAUGCCGCGUGUGUGAAGAAGGUCUUCGGAUUGUAAAGCACUUUAAGUUGGGAGGAAGGGCAGUAAGUUAAUACCUUGCUGUUUUGACGUUACCGACAGAAUAAGCACCGGCUAACUUCGUGCCAGCAGCCGCGGUAAUACGAAGGGUGCAAGCGUUAAUCGGAAUUACUGGGCGUAAAGCGCGCGUAGGUGGUUUUGUAAGUUGGAGGUGAAAUCCCCGGGCUCAACCUGGGAACUGCCUCCAAAACUGCAUGACUAGAGUACGGUAGAGGGUAGUGGAAUUUCCUGUGUAGCGGUGAAAUGCGUAGAUAUAGGAAGGAACACCAGUGGCGAAGGCGACUACCUGGACUGAUACUGACACUGAGGUGCGAAAGCGUGGGGAGCAAACAGGAUUAGAUACCCGUGUAGUCC
RNAcentral lists this ribosomal RNA (450 nucleotides) under uncultured bacterium. Its description in RNAcentral is "bacterial SSU rRNA". It matches the Rfam family "Bacterial small subunit ribosomal RNA", at positions 354 to 796 of the family's 1533-position model. The record is from RNAcentral.